RNAcentral lists this long non-coding RNA (199 nucleotides) under Elaeis guineensis (African oil palm). RNAcentral describes it as "long non-coding RNA (EGUI_LNC059753)". Lineage: Eukaryota; Viridiplantae; Streptophyta; Magnoliopsida; Arecales; Arecaceae. The record is from RNAcentral.
CUCCAUUCCCUGCGGUAGAUUCCAUGCGGCUCCAUCACCCCACGACCCUGCUCCACCUCCUGCGAUGGAUUCCACGCGGCUCCAUCACUCCCUGGCAGGCCGUAAUAAUGGCCACGGCCCUGCUCCACUUCCUGUGAUGGAUACCGUGCAAUUCUUUUAUCCUCUGGCAAGUCGCGACAACGGACGCCGCUCUGCUUCU